GAGUUUGAUCCUGGCUCAGAACGAACGCUGGCGGCGUGCUUAACACAUGCAAGUCGAACGUGAUCCAGAGCUUGCUCUGGUGAAAGUGGCGCACGGGUGAGUAACGCGUGGAUAACCUGCCCUGGUAUCUGGGAUAACAUCUCGAAAGGGGUGCUAAUACCGGAUAAGCCUACGGGAUCUUCGGAUUCKGCAGGAAAAGGAGGCCUCUAUUUAUAAGCUUCCGUAUCAUGAUGGGUCCGCGUACCAUUAGCUAGUUGGUGGGGUAAUGGCCUACCAAGGCGACGAUGGUUAGCUGGUCUGAGAGGAUGAUCAGCCACACUGGAACUGAGACACGGUCCAGACUCCUACGGGAGGCAGCAGUGGGGAAUUUUGCGCAAUGGGGGAAACCCUGACGCAGCAACGCCGCGUGAGUGAUGAAGGCUUUCGGGUCGUAAAGCUCUGUCAGAGGGGAAGAAAUGGGUCGUGCUAAUAUCGCGACUUCUUGACGGUACCCUCAAAGGAAGCACCGGCUAACUCCGUGCCAGCAGCCGCGGUAAUAC
RNAcentral lists this ribosomal RNA (539 nucleotides) under uncultured Geobacteraceae bacterium. RNAcentral's name for it is "bacterial SSU rRNA". It matches the Rfam family "Bacterial small subunit ribosomal RNA", at positions 9 to 526 of the family's 1533-position model. Lineage: Bacteria; Pseudomonadati; Thermodesulfobacteriota; Desulfuromonadia; Geobacterales; Geobacteraceae. The record is from RNAcentral.